GAGGAUACAUCAAAACUCCUGUUUUAACGGUGUUGUCUGAGCUACAAGCAACGAAUCAAAACUUUCAACAACGGAUCUCUUGGUUCUGGCAUCGAUGAAGAACGCAGCGAAAUGCGAUAAGUAGUGUGAAUUGCAGAAUUCAGUGAAUCAUCGAAUCUUUGAACGCACAUUGCGCCCCUUGGUAUCCCGAGGGGCAUGCCUGUUCGAGCGUCAUUUCACCACUCAAGCCUGGCUUGGUGUUGGGCGACGUCCGCUUUUGGGGACGCGUCUCGAAACGCUCGGCGGCGUGGCACCGGCUUUAAGCGUAGCAGAAUCUUUCGCUUUGAAAGUCGGGGCCCCGUCUGCCGGAAGACCUACUCGCAAGGUUGACCUCGGAUCAGGCAGGGAUACCCGCUGAACUUAAGCAUAUCAA
This 412-nucleotide ribosomal RNA is filed under the name uncultured fungus. RNAcentral's name for it is "eukaryotic LSU rRNA". The stretch from base 60 to 213 matches the Rfam family "5.8S ribosomal RNA". Lineage: Eukaryota; Fungi. The record is from RNAcentral.